RNAcentral lists this ribosomal RNA (71 nucleotides) under Rhizoctonia solani. RNAcentral's name for it is "partial 28S ribosomal RNA". The record is from RNAcentral. Lineage: Eukaryota; Fungi; Basidiomycota; Agaricomycetes; Cantharellales; Ceratobasidiaceae.
GGUUCCACUCAGCGUGAUAAGUUAUCUAUCGCUGAGGACACCCUGUUAAAAAGGGGUGGCCAAGGUAAAUG